RNAcentral lists this ribosomal RNA (253 nucleotides) under uncultured bacterium. RNAcentral's name for it is "partial 16S ribosomal RNA". It matches the Rfam family "Bacterial small subunit ribosomal RNA", at positions 524 to 776 of the family's 1533-position model. The record is from RNAcentral.
UACGAAGGGGGCUAGCGUUGUUCGGAAUCACUGGGCGUAAAGCGCACGUAGGCGGAUCUUUAAGUCAGGGGUGAAAUCCCGAGGCUCAACCUCGGAACUGCCUUUGAUACUGGGGAUCUCGAGUCCGGGAGAGGUGAGUGGAACUGCGAGUGUAGAGGUGAAAUUCGUAGAUAUUCGCAAGAACACCAGUGGCGAAGGCGGCUCACUGGCCCGGAACUGACGCUGAGGCGCGAAAGCUAGGGGAGCAAACAGG